AUUCUGUAGCAAGGUUAACCGUAUAGGGGAGCCGCAGGGAAACCGAGUCUUAACCGGGCGUUAAGUUGCAGGGUAUAGACCCGAAACCCGGUGAUCUAGCCAUGGGCAGGUUGAAGGUUGGGUAACACUAACUGGAGGACCGAACCGACUAAUGUUGAAAAAUUAGCGGAUGACCUGUGGCUGGGGGUGAAAGGCCAAUCAAACCGGGAGAUAGCUGGUUCUCCCCGAAAGCUAUUUAGGUAGCGCCUCGUGAAUUCAUCUCCGGGGGUAGAGCACUGUUUCGGCUAGGGGGCCAUCCCGGCUUACCAACCCGAUGCAAACUGCGAAUACCGGAGAAUGUUAUCACGGGAGACACACGGCGGGUGCUAACGUCCGUCGUGAAGAGGGAAACAACCCAGACCGCCAGCUAAGGUCCCAAAGUCAUGGUUAAGUGGGAAACGAUGUGGGAAGGCCCAGACAGCCAGGAUGUUGGCUUAGAAGCAGCCAUCAUUUAAAGAAAGCGUAAUAGCUCACUGGUCGAGUCGGCCUGCGCGGAAGAUGUAACGGGGCUAAACCAUGCAC
Molecule: ribosomal RNA, 561 nt
Filed under: Salmonella enterica subsp. enterica serovar Minnesota
Lineage: Bacteria; Pseudomonadati; Pseudomonadota; Gammaproteobacteria; Enterobacterales; Enterobacteriaceae
Description: partial 23S ribosomal RNA
Rfam family: Bacterial large subunit ribosomal RNA
Source: RNAcentral